CAAUAGCGUAUAUUAAAAGUUGUUGCAGUUAAAAAGCUCGUAGUUGAACCUUGGGCCUGGCUGGCNCGGUCCGCCUCACCGCGUGCACUGGUUCGGCCGGGCCUUUCCCUCUGGGGAAUCCCAUGCCCUUCACUGGGUGUGGCGAGGAACCAGGACUUUUACUGUGAAAAAAUUAGAGUGUUCAAAGCAGGCCUAUGCUCGAAUACAUUAGCAUGGAAUAAUAGAAUAGGACGUGUGGUUCUAUUUUGUUGGUUUCUAGGACCGCCGUAAUGAUUAAUAGGGACAGUCGGGGGCAUCAGUAUUCAAUUGUCAGAGGUGAAAUUCUUGGAUUUAUUGAAGACUAACUACUGCGAAAGCAUUUGCCAAGGAUGUUUUCAUUAAUCAGGAACGAAAGUUAGGGGAUCGAAGACGAUCAGAUACCGUCGUAGUCUUAACCAUAAACUAUGCCGACUAGGGAUCGGACGAUGUUAUUUUUUGACUCGUUCGGCACCUUACGAGAAAUCAAAGUUUUUGGGUUCUGGGGGGAGUAUGGUCGCAAGGCUGAAACUUAAAGAAAUUGACGGAAGGGCACCACCAGGGGUGGAGCCUGCGGCUUAAUUUGACUCAACACGGGGAAACUCACCAGGUCCAGACACAAUGAGGAUUGACAGAUUGAGAGCUCUUU
RNAcentral lists this ribosomal RNA (664 nucleotides) under Ascotricha sp. Its description in RNAcentral is "SSU rRNA". It matches the Rfam family "Eukaryotic small subunit ribosomal RNA", at positions 592 to 1260 of the family's 1831-position model. The record is from RNAcentral. Lineage: Eukaryota; Fungi; Ascomycota; Sordariomycetes; Xylariales; Xylariaceae.